AACGCACAUUGCGCCCUUUGGUAUUCCGAAGGGCAUGCCUGUUCGAGCGUCAUUAUCAACCCUCAAGCCUGGCUUGUCAUUGGACUGUGGUCGGUAUAAGACUCGUCCGAAAGAUAAUGACGGUGUCAUGUUGGACCCUGGAUGCAACGAGCUUGUCUUCGAGCACGCGUCCGAUGGGGCUGGCUGGCCCGGUCUUUUUAACCACAUUUUUCAAAGGUUGACCUCGGAUCAGGUAGGAAUACCCGCUGAACUUAA
RNAcentral lists this unclassified non-coding RNA (255 nucleotides) under uncultured fungus. RNAcentral's name for it is "partial contains 5.8S ribosomal RNA, internal transcribed spacer 2, and large subunit ribosomal RNA". The stretch from base 1 to 52 matches the Rfam family "5.8S ribosomal RNA", at positions 103 to 154 of the family's 154-position model. Lineage: Eukaryota; Fungi. The record is from RNAcentral.